Molecule: ribosomal RNA, 251 nt
Filed under: uncultured prokaryote
Description: partial 16S rRNA
Rfam family: Bacterial small subunit ribosomal RNA
Source: RNAcentral
ACGAACCGUCCAAACGUUAUUCGGAAUUACUGGGCUUAAAGGGUGCGUAGGCGGUCCGGCAAGUCGGGUGUGAAAGCCCUCAGCUCAACUGAGGAAUUGCGUCCGAAACUGCCGGGCUUGAGGGAGAUAUAGGUGAGCGGAACUUAGGGUGGAGCGGUGAAAUGCGUUGAGAUCCUAAGGAACACCAGUAGCGAAAGCGGCUCACUGGGUCUCUUCUGACGCUGAUGCACGAAAGCUAGGGGAGCGAAGAG